ACACCAUCCAGAGCGGCCGAGAGACCUGGCUCGACGACGCCGCAGCAACCCCCCGCCCGAGCGGGUGCGGGUGCUAAAGCCGGGAGCGAUGGAGG
Molecule: non-coding RNA, 95 nt
Filed under: Pseudonocardia benzenivorans CB1190
Lineage: Bacteria; Bacillati; Actinomycetota; Actinomycetes; Pseudonocardiales; Pseudonocardiaceae
Description: Pseudonocardia dioxanivorans CB1190 SAM riboswitch aptamer (S box leader)
Rfam family: SAM riboswitch aptamer (S box leader)
About the family: The SAM riboswitch is found upstream of a number of genes which code for proteins involved in methionine or cysteine biosynthesis in Gram-positive bacteria. The SAM riboswitch acts at the level of transcription termination control.
Source: Rfam by way of RNAcentral